UCCAAUUAUAAUAUUUCACAAUUAUUAUUUUUUUUUUGCUAAAUUUGAUUUUUAUAAAAUAAGCAAAAAAUAUAUUACAAUAAAGAUCGAAAACAUAACCCUUUUAUAUUACAAUGAACAUAAAAGGGAAGCAAUUGCCUAACCUAAUAUAAAUUCCUCACAGCCCGAGGCUAGGCAAUAUAAAACCAAACAUAAGUUAUCAGCCCAAUAGGCCCACAUUAAAAAAACAUUAACAACAUCCCCACGAGAGGACCAGCCGACUAUGGGCCCAUUUACCAGCAAAAUUAGCAGCCAAAUUGAUCAAGCCAACUGAGGACCAAAAAAUCUGCAAUUCAAAAAUAGCACAGAUCCACCAUGAACCAUCGGAACAUAGCUGCAAUGACCACCAUGAAAUCCGACAAGAAACACAGAGUAGCACAGAUCCACCCUAAACACCGGUACUCACAUCCAGACCAAUGAGGAGAUAUCAGAUAAUUACACACCCAGACACCCCCGCCACGAGCAGUGGCUGGCUGGGCCGGCUGGCUGCCCCCCCUCCUACUUCCGUCUGGACCGCCGCUCUACCGGGGUUAGAUGACCCCCCUAGUUCCGCCUCUGCUCACACGUAUAAUUGAAGAAAUAUACGUAUACUUUUUCCAAAUCAUUUUUUUCAUUCAAUUCUCUAACUAACACACUCCUUAAUUUCUCCUUGAUAUAUCGAUCUCCCUUUCUCUUUCAGCUAUAUUUUGGCUUCACUUUACUAUAGUACAAGUCCAAAUGCAUUGGAUACAAUAAGAACUGCCUGUGUUAUAAAUGUGAUAAGAGAUUUCACAUGAGCCUUAGGAAUACCUAGUAUUGCCCUAGCUGGAUGAAGAGAUACUUCUGUGUUAUAAAUGUGAUAAGGGAUUUCACAUGCUAUGUGUCCGACCCAUCGUGGUUUAGUCCUUUUACAAUAGGAAGGAAGAAUAUAUUCUUGUGCAUUUAUUCUUUUAUCAGUUAUUGAAAUUAAAAACUUUAUGAUUCCUGUCUGUAAUUCUGUAUGAAUGCACUAUAAAUUAUAUAAUGUAGAUAAUGCAUCAGUUUUUCGAUGUCAUUAGCACCUCCAAAUGCACUAUAAUCUUAGUAACAUUUUCAUGUAUGCAAGUAAAAGUGAGUAAUAGUAUAAUAGUAGAAGAAAUAAUAAUUAUUUACGUCAAAGGAAGCACUUAAAAGAAGUAAAAAAAGUAACAUUUUCAUUUAUGCAGGUAGUAGUUCAACACAUUCAUACCUUCUUACUUAAUCUUUUAUUUUCUCAUAGGAUACUCACAGGUAAAAUUACUAAAAAGUGAUAAAAGGGGGAGGGUUAAAUGUAUAUCAAAUCUUGUUUACUAUUCUCAUUACUAGUGCAUUUGAUUAUAUAACUGAGCAAACGCGUUGAGCGUGAUGGUAGUAAAACAAAACUUUUUGAAACGAGAAAUAUAUUUACUUUCUCGCAGUACUCCAUUUGAAUUAUGAUAAUUUCUAGGGAAAGAAAUACAACUCUCUAGGCUUAUUUUCCGAUAAUAAGAAAUCAUGAGAAGUUUACUAAAGCUUGAUCAUGAGGAGAGGAAGAAGAGGGUAAAAAAAUUAUGGCAGUAAUACUUGUUAUAUCUAAUCACAUCAUUGAAUUCAACAAUUAAGACUAAGCUUGAACAAGAUUUAUAAAUGCAGACACUCGGUGAUAUAAUACUCUUUUUAAAGAAGCAAAAUAAGUUAAAAAUUGAUCAGCAACUCCAAAAAGCAUAUAAUUUUACUUGGCUUCACAAUGAUUUUACCAAGUGAAUCCCAAAUUUUUAGAAAAUUUUUAGACACUCCUAAACUUGAAAGACAGAUAGUAAUAUCUUAUCUCAUUAUACAAUUUCAACAUUGAAACUAAAACAUCUAUUGGAGCAAGAUCUUCACAUAUUUAAGAUAUAUUCACAUUACUUAAUGCUAAUGUAUUGAUGUUCAUGUGCCUAAUGGAUUAGUUUUAAAAAGUUUUUCCGUCAGAAGGUGUUAUAGUCUAGUAUAAAAACCCAAAUUAUCAUUUCUAUUUUUCUUAAUUGGCUAGCACUUGGUUCGUCAUUUGAUAAUGUUAUAUCCUCUACACCAUCUUGAUAAUAAUUAAUUUUAAUUAGAAAACAAGAAACAAAAUCAACACGACAAAGAAUAUCUUGGUUUAAAUUAAUUUUAAUUAAAAAAUCGAAUGCAAGAGAAUCCAAUAGAAUUUUUUAAAAAUGUGGAGUGAUUAACAUAAAGGAGAAGGGAUUAAUGCAAUAGAAGACUAUCAUUUGUUUAGAUGUACAAAAAUUCUUGCAGUAAUUCAGCCAUCUCUAAAAAUUGAGAUCGAAUAAUUAUACAAGACUAUCUAAUGUGGAUAUGAAAUUAAUUUAAAUAUAAUUAAUUUAAUUAUACAAGACCAUCAUUUGUUUGAUUUAUGAGCAAAAGUAGAAUUCAGAAAUUUACCUGAUAAUCAAAGAGAUUAGCAUCUGAGGAGAUCUGAGUGAAUGAAUGCCAGCGGCCGUGAGGAAUGAGGUAGUGAGAUCUAAUGGUAUGCUUUUAUACUGAUCAAAUUAGGAUUUUUGUGCUUUUAUACCGAUGAAAUGAAAUUACAGCGCAUUUAGUAUCCACUUAAUUACUGGACUAAAUAUGAUUAACCAAUGAAAAAUCUUUUUAGCUUCUAAAUGGGUCACUUAAAGGAGGUUUUGUAUUUGGAGC
Molecule: long non-coding RNA, 2694 nt
Filed under: Panax ginseng (ginseng)
Lineage: Eukaryota; Viridiplantae; Streptophyta; Magnoliopsida; Apiales; Araliaceae
Description: long non-coding RNA (PGIN_LNC007318)
Source: RNAcentral